UAGUAGAUUGAUUUAUGAAACUUAAAGAAUAUGGCGGUAUUUUAUUCAAUUUAGAGGAACCUGUUUUUUGAUUGAUAAUCCACAAUUAAUUUUACUUAAUUUUAUUUAAUUUAUAUAUCGUCGUUAUAAAAGUUUUUUUUAAAAAAAAAUAAAAUUUAGUAAAUUAUAUUUUAAMUUAAAUCAGAUCAUGAUGUAGUUUAUGGUUAAGAUAAUAAUGGGUUAUAAUAAAAAAAGUAUUUUUGGAUAUCUUAAUGAAAUUUAAGAUAGAAUUUAGAUUUAAAUGUAAUUUGAUUAAUUUUAAUUGAAUGAUUUUAUGAUUUAUAAUAUGUACAUAUUGCCCGUCGCUCUCAUUUU
RNAcentral lists this ribosomal RNA (354 nucleotides) under Rhyacophila bonaparti. RNAcentral's name for it is "partial small subunit ribosomal RNA". The record is from RNAcentral. Lineage: Eukaryota; Metazoa; Arthropoda; Insecta; Trichoptera; Rhyacophilidae.